RNAcentral lists this microRNA (21 nucleotides) under Aedes aegypti (yellow fever mosquito). Its description in RNAcentral is "aae-miR-11903b". Lineage: Eukaryota; Metazoa; Arthropoda; Insecta; Diptera; Culicidae. The record is from miRBase by way of RNAcentral.
CGCCAUAUGAUUUGUAACUCU